This 2029-nucleotide ribosomal RNA is filed under the name Gennadas propinquus. Its description in RNAcentral is "SSU rRNA". It matches the Rfam family "Eukaryotic small subunit ribosomal RNA". The record is from RNAcentral. Lineage: Eukaryota; Metazoa; Arthropoda; Malacostraca; Decapoda; Benthesicymidae.
AGUCAUAUGCUUGUCUCAAAGAUUAAGCCAUGCAUGUCUAAGUACAAACCUAAGAACGGUGAAACCGCAGACGGCUCAUUAAAUCAGAUAUAAUUCAUUGGAUCUGUAUGUUCCACUUACUUGGAUAACUGUGGUAAUUCUAGAGCUAAUACAUGCCUUUAGAGUCUCUGACAGCAAUGGAAGAGCGCUUUUAUUAGUACCAAAACCUUUCGGGCCUUGGGCCAUGAAAGCUUGGUGAAUCUAGAUAACCCAUGCUGAGCGCACGUCCUCGUGACGGCGCCGCAUCUUACAAGUGUCUGCCUUAUCAGCUCUCGAUUGUAGGUUAAACGCCUACAAUGGCUAUAACGGGUAACGGGGAAUCAGGGUUCGAUUCCGGAGAGGGAGCCUGAGAGACGGCUACCACAUCUAAGGAAGGCAGCAGGCGCGCAAAUUACCCACUCCUGGCACGGGGAGGUAGUGACGAAAAAUACUGUAGCGAGACUCAAUCGAGGCUUCGCUAUUGGAAUGAGUACACUUUAAAUCCUUGCACGAGGAUCGAGUGGAGGGCAAGUCUGGUGCCAGCCGCCGCGGUAAUUCCAGCUCCACUAGCGUAUAUUAAAGUUGUUGCGGUUAAAACGCUCGUAGUUGGCUCUCUGCUCUGGACUGGCGGUGCACCUUAGCGGUGCUACUGUUCAGCUUCCAGGCUAAGUCUGGUCGGCUCACCUGGGGUGCUCUUCACCGAGUGUCCCUAGUGGCCGACACGUUUACCUUGAAAAAAUUAGAGUGCUCAGAGCAGGCUAACCCAUAGCCUGAAUGGUGGUGCAUGGAAUGAUGGAAUAGGACCUCGGUUCUAUUUUGUUGGUUUUCGGAACCCGAGGUAAUGAUUAAGAGGAGCAGACGGGGGCAUUCGUACUGCGACGAUAGAGGUGAAAUUCUUAGACCGUCGCAUGACGAGCUACUGCGAAAGCAUUUGCCAAGGAUGUUUUCAUUAAUCAAGAACGAAAGUUAGAGGUUCGAAGGCGAUCAGAUACCGCCCUAGUUCUAACCAUAAACGAUGCUGACCAGCGAUCCGCCACAGUUAUUCCCAUGACCUGGCGGGGAGCUUCCGGGAAACCAAAGUCUUUGAGUUCCGGGGGAAGUAUGGUUGCAAAGCUGAAACUUAAAGGAAUUGACGGAAGGGCACCACCAGGAGUGGAGCCUGCGGCUCAAUUUGACUCAACACGGGGAACCUUACCAGGCCCGGGCACUAGAAGGAUUGACAGAUUGAAAGCUCUUUCUUAAUUUGGUGGGUGGUGGUGCAUGGCCGUUCUUAGUUGGUGGAGUGAUUUGUCUGGUUAAUUCCGAUAACGAACGAGACUCUAGCCUAUUAAAUAGUCGGUGGAUAUACAGUGGCACAGUGUUGUCGAAUUGAAUGAACCAUGAAAGUAGCUCCUUCCCAAUGCUGCCUCCGGUGAAGGCCUUAGUGGUGUCUGCUGCUUAUGUGCGAUCGUGUUCGCUCACGUGAGUGCUGUAGUGGUGGCUCCAUGACGGCUGUAGCUGGGGUGCAACGGCGGGUUGGACUACACAAUGAAGUGGUGUCUAAACCGCAGCUUCUUCUUAGAGGGAUAAGCGGCAGCAAAUAAAAUACUAGCCGCACGAGAGAUUGAGCCAUAACAGGUCUGUGAUGCCCUUAGAUGUCCUGGGCCGCACGCGCGCUACAAUGGAGAGUUCAGCAAGCUCGCCCUGCUCCGAAAGGAGUGGGUAACCUUGUCAAAGCUGUCCUUAAAGGGGAUUGGGGCUUGCAAAUGUGGCCCAUGAACGAGGAAUUCCCAGUAGGCGCAAUUCACCAGAUUGCACCGAUUUAGUCCCUGCCCUUUGUACACACCGCCCGUCGCUACUACCGAUUGAAUGGUCUAGUGAGGGCAUCGGACUGGCGCUCCUGGAGUGGUCGCCUAUGCUUCGAUAAGAGUGCCUCUCGGGGUGCUUGAGGUAUAGGCGCCGCCUCGAGUCGACGGAAAGAUGUCCGAGCUGGGUCAUUUAGAGGAAGUAAAAGUCGUAACAAGGUUUCCGU